Molecule: ribosomal RNA, 844 nt
Filed under: uncultured bacterium
Lineage: Bacteria
Description: bacterial SSU rRNA
Rfam family: Bacterial small subunit ribosomal RNA
Source: RNAcentral
GGCUCAGGAUGAACGUUGGCGGCGUGCUUAACGCAUGCAAGUCGAACGCAGAUGGCAUUAUUUGAGUGGCGCACGGGUGAGUAACACGUAGCUUACCUACCCUGGAGAGCGGGAUAACGUUCCGAAAGGAAUGCUAAUACCGCAUAAGCUCACGAUCUGUAGAGGGUUGUGAGAAAACGGAGAAAUUCGCUUCAGGAUGGGGCUGCGGCCCAUCAGCUAGUUGGUGAGGUAAAAGCUUACCAAGGCGACGACGGGUAGGGGACCUGAGAGGGUGACCCCCCACACUGGGACUGAGACACGGCCCAGACUCCUACGGGAGGCAGCAGUGAGGGAUAUUGCACAAUGGGCGCAAGCCUGAUGCAGCGACGCCGCGUGGAUGAAGAAGGCCUUCGGGUCGUAAAAUCCUUUUGCGCGUGACGAGAAUGGACGGUAGCGCGCGAAUAAGUCUCGGCUAACUACGUGCCAGCAGCCGCGGUAAAACGUAGGAGACGAACGUUAUCCGGAGUUACUGGGCGUAAAGGGCGUGCAGGCGGCUUGAUAAGUUCGGCGUGAAAUUUUCCGGCUUAACCGGGGGAUGUCGUCGGAGACUGUCGGGCUAGAGGGCGAUAGAGGCAGGUGGAAUUCCGGGUGUAGUGGUGAAAUGCGUAGAGAUCCGGAGGAACACCAGUGGCGAAGGCGACCUGCUGGGUCGCACCUGACGCUAAGACGCGACAGCAUGGGGAGCGAACGGGAUUAGAAACCCCGGUAGUCCAUGCCGUAAAUGAUGCCAACUCGGUGUUUGGUCUGGGAAACCAGACUGGGUACCCAAGCAAACGCGAUAAGUUGGCCGCCUGGGGAGUACGGU